Long non-coding RNA from Peromyscus eremicus (cactus mouse), 1278 nucleotides. RefSeq lists it as uncharacterized. The record is from RefSeq and is a predicted model, not a curated record. NCBI's taxonomy places the organism in Eukaryota, Metazoa, Chordata, Mammalia, Rodentia, Cricetidae. The transcript has 2 exons.
AGAGACUAAGACACACCCAGUGAUGAUGAACACAGAAUCGACGCACUCAAUGUCUGAGUACCAUAGGCACGCUGACUAACUUCCAAUGCCAUAACCAACUACGUAGGGUGAGAUUUGGUUUCUCACACUUUCACAGGUCUCAAGCCAUCACAGUGGAGCAUGCAUAACAGAGCAGAGUGCUCACCUCACAGAGGCCACAAAAGCAGUGGUGUCAGAAGAACCAGGGCAAGGCACACUCCCCAGGGAUGCUUCGCCACCGAUUUUCUCUAACCGGGCACUUCCUUCCAUAGCUCACCACCUUCCCAUAGUCCCCAUCCUUAUGAUCUGGUCACUGGAGAUGCUGUCACAGACACAUGUGGAAGGGUGCUUUACUAAUCUAGAUGUCUCCGUCCAAUCAAAUUGGCCAUCAAGAUUAAUCAUGAUGCCCAUCCACUUCCUCGGCAUCGUUCUGGACCACUGCGCCCAGGCUAUGGCUUGAAAUCCCAAUCCUGCCCUGUGGGUGCUGUCAAGCAGGUGCCGAGAAGACAAUUCUCCUUUGCCUUAACUCCCAUGUCUGUGGUCACCCCAGCACCAUACACAGGUGUUAAAGGUCCUGACAGCCUUCCCCAAAGGCAUGAGGGGAAAGGCCAACUGAGAACUGUCCGCCUUGCUCUUCCAAGCUCCCUUGAGGGCACGUCCAUUGUCGGCAGUGCCACCCACAUACCCAGGAGAGCAAUAGCAGUUCUCCAAGUGCUCUUUGACGAGACCGGAAGACGUUUCCUUCAGUCCUCCUCAGACUUCAGGUCCACCUCCCAGGAUCCACACCCACCACUGUGAGGUUUUGAAGCCUCUCACCUCAGCACAGCCUCCUCAGGCAAGGCUUCUGCCCAUGUCCUUUCAUUUGACUUACUUUUGUUUUUAAACGAUACCCAGGUUUUCUGGAAGCUGUAGGCAGCAAACCGCAGUGGCAAAUGAGAUGCGCGCAUGCCCACGUUCUCCGUAAUGCUCACAAGACGCCAUGGUAAAGCGACAGGGAGCACGGAGUCUCAGCCUCUGCUUUUGUCACACGGGGGAGCUUGGAGCCACAUCAGGCAUCUUGUUACCAAAAGGAAAACAGUGCAGCUUUGAAGAAAGUCCUGAAAACCAGUGGACAUGCCUGGGUCCUCAGAACACCACACACGUUCCAGACUCCCUCCCCCUGACCUGCAUCGAGGUGCGAAUCACCCUUGUAAUCUUGCUCUUUUACACUAUUUUGCCAUUUGCAGCUAAAAUUCCCUGAUAAAGUGAUUCCCCAAACUG